RNAcentral lists this transfer RNA (72 nucleotides) under Spirochaetales bacterium. RNAcentral describes it as "tRNA-Thr". It matches the Rfam family "tRNA". From Rfam's summary of the family: Transfer RNA (tRNA) molecules are approximately 80 nucleotides in length. The record is from RNAcentral. Lineage: Bacteria; Pseudomonadati; Spirochaetota; Spirochaetia; Spirochaetales.
GCCGGUGUAGCUCAGUGGUAGAGCAACGCUCUCGUAAAGCGUAGGUCGUCGGUCCAAUUCCGACCACCGGCU